Non-coding RNA from Paramuricea clavata, 73 nucleotides. Lineage: Eukaryota; Metazoa; Cnidaria; Anthozoa; Malacalcyonacea; Plexauridae. The record is from the annotation of a GenBank genome assembly.
GGCUCUGUAGCUCAGUUGGUUAGUGCGCUGUACCGGAACCGCAGGGCCGCAGGUUCGAUUCCUGUCAGAGCCC